Molecule: ribosomal RNA, 559 nt
Filed under: uncultured bacterium
Lineage: Bacteria
Description: bacterial SSU rRNA
Rfam family: Bacterial small subunit ribosomal RNA
Source: RNAcentral
UAGGGAAUCUUCCACAAUGGACGCAAGUNNGAUGGAGCAACGCCGCGUGAGUGAAGAAGGGUUUCGGCUCGUAAAGCUCUGUUGGUAGUGAAGAAAGAUAGAGGUAGUAACUGGCCUUUAUUUGACGGUAAUUACUUAGAAAGUCACGGCUAAAAUACGUGCCAGCAGCCGCGGUAAUCCGGNNAAUGCGAAGGGUGCAUGCGUUAAUCGGAAUUACUGGGCGUAAAGCGCACGCAGGCGGUUUGUUAAGUCAGAUGUGAAAUCCUCGGGCUCAACCUGGGAACUGCAUCUGAUACUGGCAAGCUUGAGUCUCGUAGAGGGGGGUAGAAUUCCAGGUGUAGCGGUGAAAUGCGUAGAGAUCUGGAGGAAUACCGGUGGCGAAGGCGGCCCCCUGGACGAAGACUGACGCUCAGGUGCGAAAGCGUGGGGAGCAAACAGGAUUAGAUACCCUGGUAGUCCACGCCGUAAACGAUGUCGACUUGGAGGUUGUGCCCUUGAGGCGUGGCUUCCGGAGCUAACGCGUUAAGUCGACCGCCUGGGGAGUACGGCCGCAAGGUUA